Molecule: ribosomal RNA, 497 nt
Filed under: uncultured bacterium
Lineage: Bacteria
Description: partial 16S ribosomal RNA
Rfam family: Bacterial small subunit ribosomal RNA
Source: RNAcentral
GAUGAACGCUGGCGGCGUGCCUAAUACAUGCAAGUCGAGCGAACAGACGAGGAUCUUGCUCCUCUGACGUUAGCGGCGGACGGGUGAUGAACACGUGGAUAACCUACCUAUAAGACUGGGAUAGCGUCGGGAAACCGGAUCUAAUACCGGAUAAUAUAUUGAACCGCAUGGUUCAAUAGUGAAAGACGGUUUUGCUGUCACUUAUAGAUGGAUCCGCGCCGCAUUAGCUAGUUGGUAAGGUAACGGCUUACCAAGGCAACGAUGCGUAGCCGACCUGAGAGGGUGAUCGGCCACACUGGAACUGAGACACGGUCCAGACUCCUACGGGAGGCAGCAGUAGGGAAUCUUCCGCAAUGGGCGAAAGCCUGACGGAGCAACGCCGCGUGAGUGAUGAAGGUCUUCGGAUCGUAAACCUCUGUUAUUAGGGAAGAAAAAAUGUGUAAGUAACUAUGCACGUCUUGACGGUACCUAAUCAGAAAGCCACGGCUAACUACGUG